UUGCAUUCUUAAACCCUCUUGGUAGCUUCUCUGAAUGCUUCCAAGAUAUGAAUGAAUGCUAUAAAAUUGCAGGGGAGUCCAAAGGGCUGCGCUUCUCCUGUCGCCCAGUCUUAUUUCAUACCUGCGACAUCU
Small nucleolar RNA from Manis pentadactyla (Chinese pangolin), 132 nucleotides. RefSeq annotates it as small nucleolar RNA SNORA14. NCBI's taxonomy places the organism in Eukaryota, Metazoa, Chordata, Mammalia, Pholidota, Manidae. The transcript has a single exon. The record is from RefSeq and is a predicted model, not a curated record.